Molecule: ribosomal RNA, 253 nt
Filed under: uncultured bacterium
Lineage: Bacteria
Description: partial 16S ribosomal RNA
Rfam family: Bacterial small subunit ribosomal RNA
Source: RNAcentral
GACGUAGGGCGCGAGCGUUGUCCGGAUUUAUUGGGCGUAAAGAGCUCGUAGGCGGUUUGUCGCGUCUGUCGUGAAAGCUUGGGGCUUAACCCCAAGUCUGCGGUGGAUACGGGCAGACUAGAGGCAGGUAGGGGAGAACGGAAUUCCCGGUGUAGCGGUGAAAUGCGCAGAUAUCGGGAGGAACACCGGUGGCGAAGGCGGUUCUCUGGGCCUGUACUGACGCUGAGGAGCGAAAGCGUGGGGAGCGAACAGG